RNAcentral lists this ribosomal RNA (253 nucleotides) under uncultured bacterium. RNAcentral describes it as "partial 16S ribosomal RNA". It matches the Rfam family "Bacterial small subunit ribosomal RNA", at positions 524 to 776 of the family's 1533-position model. The record is from RNAcentral.
UACGUAGGGUGCAAGCGUUAAUCGGAAUUACUGGGCGUAAAGCGUGCGCAGGCGGCUUUGCAAGACAGAUGUGAAAUCCCCGGGCUUAACCUGGGAACUGCAUUUGUGACUGCAUGGCUGGAGUGCGGCAGAGGGGGAUGGAAUUCCGCGUGUAGCAGUGAAAUGCGUAGAUAUCAGGAAGAACACCGGUGGCGAAAGCGGUCUGCUGGGCAGUUGCUGACACUGAGGCGCGACAGCGUGGGGAGCAAGCAGG